UCCUUGGUGGCUCAGAUGGUAAAGAAUCUGCCUGCAAUGCAGGAGACCCAGGUUUGAUCCCUGGGUGGGGAA
Molecule: transfer RNA, 72 nt
Filed under: Odocoileus virginianus texanus
Lineage: Eukaryota; Metazoa; Chordata; Mammalia; Artiodactyla; Cervidae
Also listed under: 6 other names
Rfam family: tRNA
About the family: Transfer RNA (tRNA) molecules are approximately 80 nucleotides in length.
Source: Rfam by way of RNAcentral